UUUCAUAGUUGCUUUGGCCUGUACCAAGGAGGAACAUCACAAUAUGGGUGGUGAAGCAAAGUUCACAUCAUGGUGGCUGAGAAGUGAGACAGGAAGGGGCCAGGUCCCAAGACAACCUUUAAAGGGGAUUCUUGUACCAGAGAUUCCUGCUACAAAGAAAAUCUACUACCUUCUUUGCUUCCAGCUACCAUGAACUGAGCAGCUUUGGUACGCCAUGUCCUUCUACCUGGGAAUUAGCCAACUAUGGGCUAAUGAAACCAUGAUCCAAAGAAAUCAUUUUCUCCUGCCUCAUUGUCUACUUUCAGAUGUUCUCAAAAGGAUACAAGUAAAUGAGCCAUGUGAAGAAUUGAGUAAAGCACCAAGCACCUUGUCAACUAUCCAUCAAUGUUAGUCAUCAUCAUCAUCUUCAGUAGCAGCAGCAGUAGCAAUCUUCUGAUCAUCGACAAAACUUGCCCUACCUGAGUUCUUCCUACUAUGAGGUGUAUCUCCAAGCCACCUUCUUCCU
Fukomys damarensis (Damara mole-rat) is the source of this 505-nucleotide long non-coding RNA. RefSeq lists it as uncharacterized. NCBI's taxonomy places the organism in Eukaryota, Metazoa, Chordata, Mammalia, Rodentia, Bathyergidae. The transcript is spliced from 4 exons. The record is from RefSeq and is a predicted model, not a curated record.